GCGGUCAACCAAUCACAACUUCCGACGCUGUGCAGUAGGGGAUUUCAAUAUGGCGGACAUAGAAUUUUAUCAAGAUGAUGCAGAGGAUCCCCUUGGUGACGGUGAUGACAUCUUAUUUGGUGGAGAUUAUGAACAGGGUCAGGAAGAUCUGUUAACUCCCUUACAGCG
Molecule: long non-coding RNA, 168 nt
Organism: Lingula anatina
Lineage: Eukaryota; Metazoa; Brachiopoda; Lingulata; Lingulida; Lingulidae
Source: RefSeq, a predicted model, not a curated record